RNAcentral lists this ribosomal RNA (763 nucleotides) under marine metagenome. RNAcentral's name for it is "bacterial SSU rRNA". It matches the Rfam family "Bacterial small subunit ribosomal RNA", at positions 383 to 1164 of the family's 1533-position model. The record is from RNAcentral.
CUGAUGCAGCGAUGCCGCGUGAGUGAAGAAGGCCCUUGGGUUGUAAAACUCUUUCGUCGGGGAAGAAAAUGACUGUACCCGAAUAAGAAGGUCCGGCUAACUUCGUGCCAGCAGCCGCGGUAAUACGAAGGGACCUAGCGUAGUUCGGAAUUACUGGGCUUAAAGAGUUCGUAGGUGGUUGAAAAAGUUGGUGGUGAAAUCCCAGAGCUUAACUCUGGAACUGCCAUUAAAACUUUUCAGCUAGAGUAUGAUAGAGGAAAGCAGAAUUUCUAGUGUAGAGGUGAAAUUCGUAGAUAUUAGAAAGAAUACCAAUUGCGAAGGCAGCUUUCUGGAUCAUUACUGACACUGAGGAACGAAAGCAUGGGUAGCGAAGAGGAUUAGAUACCCUCGUAGUCCAUGCCGUAAACGAUGUGUGUUAGACGUUGGAAAUUUAUUUUCAGUGUCGCAGCGAAAGCGAUAAACACACCGCCUGGGGAGUACGACCGCAAGGUUAAAACUCAAAUGAAUUGACGGGGACCCGCACAAGUAGUGGAGCAUGUGGUUUAAUUCGAAGAUACGCGCAGAACCUUACCAACACUUGACAUGUUCGUCGCGACUCUAAGAGAUUAGAGUUUUCGGUUCGGCCGGACGAAACACAGGUGCUGCAUGGCUGUCGUCAGCUCGUGUCGUGAGAUGUUGGGUUAAGUCCCGCAACGAGCGCAACCCUCACUUUUAGUUGCCAUCAUUAAGUUGGGCACUCUGAAAGAACUGCCAGUGAUAAGCU